UAAUAAUAAUAAUAAAUUUGUGGACCGUUUCUGGUUGGAAGUGGCGCUCUUUGGUUUAGUUGCGACCCGUACCGCGCGAGACCGACGCAGUCUCCAGCGGCCCCGAUUCUGGAUGGUCGAUGACAAACCCACCUCCACCGCCCUCACCACCAUCACUGCCGCGAACAGUUAACAAAAAUCCGCAGAACAGCUGAAACGAGAAAACGCCUUUUUUGUUCCCACCACGUCUCGGCCGUUUUCGUCUCGCGAGGAAGAAGAGGCCAGAAGAAGAAGAACGAGGAGGAGGACCGUUACCGACCCGCUCAGGAGUAUUUGUCACAAUUUGAUGAGAAUUUCGCUUGAGCCGAAAGCCCCGAGAUACUUAAUGACGUCGUUUAUUUAAACGCUUCUCGACCGCAUUCUCCAGAUAAGCAGAUUUCCGACCGACCUCAACGUCGACAAUGGACAAAAGGAAAUUAUCAACAUCAGGGGAUUCUCUUUACCUCAUCCUCGGCCUACCGAAGACGGCCUCACCUGAGGAUAUAAAAAAGACUUAUCGAAAACUUGCCCUCAAAUACCAUCCAGACAAAAACCCUGACAAUGUCGAAGCGGCAGAAAUGUUCAAAGAUGUUAACAGGGCCCAUUCCAUCCUUAGUGAUAUGACCAAGAGGAACAUUUACGACAACUAUGGCUCUCUUGGAUUGUAUAUUGCUGAACAGUUUGGCGAGGACAACGUCAACGCUUACUUCUUAGUUACAUCAAAAUGGUGCAAGUUACUUAUCGUCUUGUGUGGAUUAGUCACCGUAUGUUAUUGCGGCUGUUGCUGCUUUUGUUGCUGCUGCAACUUCUGCUGCGGGAAGUGUAAGCCACGGUCUCCAGAAGACAGUGGGAACUACCACACGUUACAUAGGGAGGGAAACAAUGCAGGAGACCCGGUGACUGCACAGCCUACCAAGCAUUCGAACCAGAAUAAAACAGUUAAAGAUGGCAGUAAUAGCCCUGAUAGCCUCGAAAUCCACACAAUGAACACAUACAUGUAACUCGGAGAUUUAACGGCAGCCCAAGAUUAAAGUGUAUCAUUUGGAUUCAGACGAUGAGGGAGCUUGUGGCGACACAGUGACCUCCCAGCCAACUUCAGGAAAUGCCCAGAAUUUUAACGCCACCCACGAGCCGAGCGAAAACACCUCCCUGAAGACUUCAGAUCAGGUCACCUACACAACAGUGCCCUUUUCUAGCACUGAUGCGAAGCUCAUUGACUUUGAAGAUUUUCACUGAACAAAAUGAGUCAUGAACUGAGUUUCACUGUUUGACAACCCCUGUCUUAUUUGUCUCCUUCCUAUUUUAGCUCUCAGAAAAAAAUUAUUACUCUCA
RNAcentral lists this unclassified non-coding RNA (1350 nucleotides) under Cimex lectularius (bed bug). RNAcentral describes it as "dnaJ homolog subfamily C member 5, transcript variant X1". Lineage: Eukaryota; Metazoa; Arthropoda; Insecta; Hemiptera; Cimicidae. The record is from RNAcentral.